AGAAGUAGGGAUACCCGCUGAACUUAAGCAUAUC
RNAcentral lists this ribosomal RNA (34 nucleotides) under Otidea cochleata. RNAcentral describes it as "partial 28S ribosomal RNA". Lineage: Eukaryota; Fungi; Ascomycota; Pezizomycetes; Pezizales; Pyronemataceae. The record is from RNAcentral.